This 707-nucleotide ribosomal RNA is filed under the name uncultured Bacteroidales bacterium. RNAcentral's name for it is "bacterial SSU rRNA". It matches the Rfam family "Bacterial small subunit ribosomal RNA", at positions 51 to 747 of the family's 1533-position model. Lineage: Bacteria; Pseudomonadati; Bacteroidota; Bacteroidia; Bacteroidales. The record is from RNAcentral.
ACACAUGCAAGUCGAGGGGCAGCAUGGUCUUAGCUUGCUAAGACUGAUGGCGACCGGCGCACGGGUGAGUAACACGUAUCCAACCUGCCGUCUACUCUUGGACAGCCUUCUGAAAGGAAGAUUAAUACAAGAUGGCAUCAUGAGUCCGCAUGUUCACAUGAUUAAAGGUAUUCCGGUAGACGAUGGGGAUGCGUUCCAUUAGAUAGUAGGCGGGGUAACGGCCCACCUAGUCUUCGAUGGAUAGGGGUUCUGAGAGGAAGGUCCCCCACAUUGGAACUGAGACACGGUCCAAACUCCUACGGGAGGCAGCAGUGAGGAAUAUUGGUCAAUGGGCGAGAGCCUGAACCAGCCAAGUAGCGUGAAGGAUGACUGCCCUAUGGGUUGUAAACUUCUUUUAUAAAGGAAUAAAGUCGGGUAUGUAUACCCGUUUGCAUGUACUUUAUGAAUAAGGAUCGGCUAACUCCGUGCCAGCAGCCGCGGUAAUACGGAGGAUCCGAGCGUUAUCCGGAUUUAUUGGGUUUAAAGGGAGCGUAGAUGGAUGUUUAAGUCAGUUGUGAAAGUUUGCGGCUCAACCGUAAAAUUGCAGUUGAUACUGGAUAUCUUGAGUGCAGUUGAGGCAGGCGGAAUUCGUGGUGUAGCGGUGAAAUGCUUAGAUAUCACGAAGAACUCCGAUUGCGAAGGCAGCCUGCUAAGCUGCAACUGACAUU